GAAACUGCCUCCAAUACUGUUGGGCUAGAGAGUAGUGCGGGUAGGCGGAAUGUAUGGUGUAGCGGUGAAAUGCUUAGAGAUCAUACAGAACACCGAUUGCGAAGGCAGCUUACCAAACUAUAUCUGACGUUGAGGCACGAAAGCGUGGGGAGCAAACAGGAUUAGAUACCCUGGUAGUCCACGCAGUAAACGAUGAUAACUCGUUGUCGGCGAUACACAGUCGGUGACUAAGCGAAAGCGAUAAGUUAUCCACCUGGGGAGUACGUUCGCAAGAAUGAAACUCAAAGGAAUUGACGGGGGCCCGCACAAGCGGAGGAACAUGUGGUUUAAUUCGAUGAUACGCGAGGAACCUUACCCGGGCUUGAAAGUUAGCGACAGACAUUGAAAGAUGUUUUCCCUACGGGGCGCGAAACUAGGUGCUGCAUGGUUGUCGUCAGCUCGUGCCGUGAGGUGUCGGGUUAAGUCCCAUAACGAGCGCAACCCCUACCGUUAGUUGCCAUCAGGUCGAGCUGGGCACUCUGGCGGGACUGCCGGUGUAAGCCGAGAGGAAGGUGGGGAUGACGUCAAAUCAGCACGGCCCUUACGUCCGGGGCUACACACGUGUUACAAUGGUAGGUACAGAGGGCAGCUACCCUGCGAAGGGAUGCGAAUCUCGAAAGCCUAUCUCAGUUCGGAUUGGAGGCUGAAACCCGCCUCCAUGAAGUUGGAUUCGCUAGUAAUCGCGCAUCAGCCAUGGCGCGGUGAAUACGUUCCCGGGCCUUGUACACACCGCCCGUCAAGCCAUGGGAGCUGGGGGUGCCUGAAGUUCGUGACCGCGAGGAGCGACCUAGGGCAAAACCGGUGACUGGGGCCAAGUCGUAACAAAGGUAGCCGUAAGCC
RNAcentral lists this ribosomal RNA (879 nucleotides) under uncultured bacterium. Its description in RNAcentral is "bacterial SSU rRNA". It matches the Rfam family "Bacterial small subunit ribosomal RNA", at positions 617 to 1508 of the family's 1533-position model. The record is from RNAcentral.